This 2478-nucleotide long non-coding RNA is filed under the name Homo sapiens (human). RNAcentral's name for it is "HSALNT0388832". Lineage: Eukaryota; Metazoa; Chordata; Mammalia; Primates; Hominidae. The record is from RNAcentral.
AGUACAUUUGCACCGUGUCCUAGAGAGCCUCUAUGCAUUUCAACUCUGAUUCUCCUUCACCAUCUACGCGCAGCCCACAACCGCAGGACCCCACCCCUGGCUCUGAAUCUCCCAUGUCCUGGCGCCAAGCAGGGAUGACAUUUGAGAGCCACCAAAGAUGGGCAGGAAAAACAAAGGCCACCACAGAGGAAGCUGAAGGCAGAAAGAGAUGCAGAGAAAGUGGGAGAAACUCGGCUGUGCUUUGUGGGGGCCCUGCAGGGACAUCAGCUCCUGAAGGGGUGAAAGAAAGGGUCCCCUGAACUUUGACACUGUUCUUCUCGAGGCCUGGCCAGCCCUGUGGCUCCUUAGAGGAAUCUGGGUGCCUGCUGUCCCUAGUACCUGACAAGCCCCAGGUGAGAAGACCUGAGUUCACCUGCGCUGCCACGUGUAACCUGAUGGCCCCGGCACCCUCGCAGGGUUUGAAUAGCUGCCCUUUCCACCUGUUUCCCGGAUUUUCCACACCACCCAGAGGCUCAUAUUCAACCCCACAGCCUACAAGUCAGCCAGGGGCCUUUGGCCACAUGUACUGAUGAUGAGAAUCACUGGAUUGUAAGCUGUAAAAGCACAAGGAUGGUGUUUUGUUCCCCGCUACCCCCUGCACCUGAGGCCCAGCGAGGAUUGCUGCUCGGAUGAAGGAGAGCGAGUGUUCGUGGAGCUCUUUGCAGAAGCCACGGGAAGCCCUUCCUGUGCCUUCUCAGGUUUAGUCUCAGACAGCCCCACUUUCCAGAUGAGGAAACAGAGGCUAAGAAAGGAGAAUAAACUUGUCCAGAAUCAGUGGUGAAGCUGGGAUUUGAACCCCAUCCUGUUGGACUCAACACUUCCUCUGAAAAGACAGGAUAAGGGAGCUGCCUACUUCUGGCUUUGGGAACCGGCAGAGAGGAGCAGAGUUGGGCCAGACGCGUCACCUCCCAAGCUCUGCGGCACCCAAGGGUUCCCAGGGUCCUCUUCCUCCAUUUGGCUCUUUUCUUCUCUGGACUCUCCCACCUUCGAGGAUUGGACUCCUUGCAGGGAGAGCAAAGCAGAGAACAGAGGAGGCCCAUCUGAGGAGAGAGUGCUGGAGCAGAUGGAGCACAGAGAGAGCCCCCAAACCUUAGCCUCACCUGGAGAGUGGCUCCCUGCAAGCUGAGCCCCUGUGUGCCCAGAAGUGACAUAGGCAUUCAGGAAAGGGACUGAGGGAGGAAAGAAGGAGCCAUUCCUCUUCCCAGGGGCGCCUGCCCUGGGUUCCUGAGGGACGCUCCAUGUUUACAUCUCCAAAGCCCAGUCCCAAACACGCCAGAGUGCAAUGCCCUCCCUCAGACCCAGGGCCAUCCUCAGAGCAGCCGGGAGGCAGCCUGUCCACCCUUACCACAGGCAGGUCGCCCAGGCAGCCUCCUCUUAGAGCUCCUGAAUUCUGGAGCAUGAAAUAGAAAUGUGAAAAACAGGCUGGCGUGGUGGCUCACACCUGUAAUCCCAGCACUUUGGGAGGCUGAGGUGGGCAGAUCAUUUGAGAUCAGGAGUUUGAGACCAACCUGGCCAACACAGUGAGACCCUGUCUCUACUAAAAUACAAGUAAAUAAGCCAGGCAUGGUGGUCCACACCUGCAGUCCCAGUUACCUGGGAGGCUGAGGCAGGAGAAUCAUUUGCAUCCAGGAGAUGGAAGUUGCUGUGAGCUGAGAUCGCACCGCUGCACUCCAGCCUGGGCAACAGAGUGAGACUCUGUCAAAAAAAAAAAAAAGAAUGAGAGAGAAAAUAAAUACUACAAAAUGUUAACAAUGGGUGAAUGUAGGUGAAGAGUAUGUGGCAGGGUGUUUUUUAUUCUCGCAAAUUUUGUGUAGGUUUGAAGUUACCACAGAAUAGCAAAUAUAAGAAUGAUUCCUGCAGACACACGAGUGAUUUCAACUGUUCACAGGGCUCAGGCAGGAAGCAGAUCUCUUGCCCUCCCUCUGAUCCAGGUCACUUAGUCCAGUCCCUGAAAGCAGUGGAUGGACAACCAUGCCACCCUCUUUCUUCCAAUACACCUUAUUUUGUAUCCUGCCCUUUUUGUGUAGCAUUAGAUCAUGAGCAUUUUCCUCUGCUAUAAAUGUCCCCUCAAAUAUGUUGUUUCUUGUGACUCCCUAGUGUUCUACCCACGAUUUCCUCGGCUGCUCCACCUUGGUGGAAUUCAGUGAUUCUUCUGCCUUUUCACCAUUGUAAGUGAUGCUUUGAUGAAAAGCUUUGUAGGUUUAUCUGUGCUGCACCUCUGACCAGUCUUUUCUGGAAGACUCUAAGGAAGGAGACAGGGGCAUGGACCACUGGCUUUUGAAGGCAUUCGGUGGGUCCUGCCAUGCCGCCUUCCCACAUUCCAGAAGGGUGGUCCCAGUGAACAACCCACCAGCACGGGGCCCCGCUCCAUGGUGCCCCAGCAAGGCCAGCGUCCCUAUACAGGAAAAUUAAACCAUUUGCCAAUUCAAGGCACUCCAG